This 277-nucleotide ribosomal RNA is filed under the name uncultured bacterium. Its description in RNAcentral is "partial 16S ribosomal RNA". It matches the Rfam family "Bacterial small subunit ribosomal RNA", at positions 28 to 297 of the family's 1533-position model. The record is from RNAcentral.
GAUGAACGCUAGCGGCAGGCUUAAUACAUGCAAGUCGUGGGGCAGCAUGAGUGUAGCAAUACAUUUGAUGGCGACCGGCAAACGGGUGCGGAACACGUACACAACCUUCCUUCAAGUGGGGAAUAGCCCAGGGAAACUUGGAUUAAUACCCCGUAAUAUUAUGGAGUGGCAUCACUUAUAAUUAUAGCUCCGGCGCUUGAUGAUGGGUGUGCGCCUGUANAGGUUAGGUUGGCGGGGUAACGGCCCACCAAGCCUUCGAUCAGUAACUGGUGUGAGA